AGAACGAACGCUGGCGGCAGGCUUAACACAUGCAAGUCGAGCGCCGUAGCAAUACGGAGCGGCAGACGGGUGAGUAACGCGUGGGAACAUACCCUCCGGUUCGGAAUAACUCAGGGAAACUUGAGCUAAUACCGGAUACGGCAUCGGAGAGAGAUCUCGGCGGCGAAAGAUUUAUCGCCGGAGGAUUGGCCCGCGUCCGAUUAGCUAGUUGGUGUGGUAAUGGCGCACCAAGGCGACGAUCGGUAGC
RNAcentral lists this ribosomal RNA (247 nucleotides) under uncultured bacterium. RNAcentral describes it as "partial small subunit ribosomal RNA". It matches the Rfam family "Bacterial small subunit ribosomal RNA", at positions 26 to 287 of the family's 1533-position model. The record is from RNAcentral.